This 460-nucleotide ribosomal RNA is filed under the name uncultured bacterium. RNAcentral describes it as "partial 16S ribosomal RNA". It matches the Rfam family "Bacterial small subunit ribosomal RNA", at positions 338 to 795 of the family's 1533-position model. The record is from RNAcentral.
CCUACGGGUGGCAGCAGUGAGGAAUAUUGGUCAAUGGACGUAAGUCUGAACCAGCCAUGCCGCGUGCAGGAAGACGGCUCUAUGAGUUGUAAACCUCUUUUGUCAGGGAGCAACGCCGGCUACGUGUAGCCGGACUGAGAGUACCUAAAGAAAAAGCAUCGGCUAACUCCGUGCCAGCAGCCGGGGUAAUACGGAGGAUGCGAGCGUUAUCCGGAUUUAUUGGGUUAAAGGGGUGCGUAGGCGGAAUGCAAAGUCAGCGGUAAAAUCGGGGGGCUAAACCUCGCUCUGCCGUUGAAACUGGCGUUCUUGAGUGGGUGAGAGGUAUGCGGAAUGCGUGGUGUAGCGGUGAAAUGCAUAGAUAUCACGCAGAACUCCGAUUGCGAAGGCAGCAUACCGGCGCCCAACUGACGCUGAAGCACGAAAGCGUGGGUAUCGAACAGGAUUAGAUACCCUGGUAGUC